UACAGAGGGGGCAAGCGUUGUUCGGAAUUACUGGGCGUAAAGGGCGCGUAGGCGGCCUUCUAAGUCGAACGUGAAAUCCCUGGGCUCAACCCAGGAACUGCGUCCGAUACUGGAAGGCUUGAAUCCGGGAGAGGGUAGUGGAAUUCCCGGUGUAGUGGUGAAAUGCGUAGAUAUCGGGAGGAACACCAGUGGCGAAGGCGACUACCUGGCCUGUUUCUUGACGCUGAGGCGCGAAAGCUAGGGGAGCAAACGGG
RNAcentral lists this ribosomal RNA (254 nucleotides) under uncultured bacterium. Its description in RNAcentral is "partial 16S ribosomal RNA". It matches the Rfam family "Bacterial small subunit ribosomal RNA", at positions 524 to 776 of the family's 1533-position model. The record is from RNAcentral.